GAUGAAGAACGCAGCGAAAUGCGAUAAGUAAUGUGAAUUGCAGAAUUCAGUGAAUCAUCGAAUCUUUGAACGCACAUUGCGCCCAUUAGCAUUCUAGUGGGCAUGCCUGUUCGAGCGUCAUUUCAACCCUUAAGCCCUGUUGCUUAGCGUUGGAGCCUACAGUACUGUAGCUCCCCAAAGUUAGUGGCGGAGUCGGUUUCACACUCUAGACGUAGUAAUUUUUUCUCGUCUGUAGUUGAGCCGGUCCCCUGCCGUAAAACACCCAAUUUAUCAAGGUUGACCUCGGAUCAGGUAGGAAUACCCGCUGAACUUAAGCAUAUCAAUAAGCGGAGGA
Molecule: unclassified non-coding RNA, 334 nt
Filed under: soil metagenome
Description: partial contains 5.8S ribosomal RNA, internal transcribed spacer 2, and large subunit ribosomal RNA
Rfam family: 5.8S ribosomal RNA (bases 1-120)
Source: RNAcentral